Long non-coding RNA from Micropterus salmoides (largemouth bass), 3112 nucleotides. RefSeq lists it as uncharacterized. Lineage: Eukaryota; Metazoa; Chordata; Actinopteri; Centrarchiformes; Centrarchidae. The transcript has 2 exons. The record is from RefSeq and is a predicted model, not a curated record.
UGAGCAUGAACAGGUCAAACUACAAAUUAGGGAAAUGAUCAACACUUUUUGGAGCAGAGCAGAAACUCAGAAUUCUUAUGGGAGGAACAUGGAGCUCCUAAAAUAUGAGAUGUGGAAGUUUCUCAAGAAAUUCGGUGGUGACCGAGCCAAGGAGAAAAGAGCAGCUGAGGAGGAAGUUAUUGUGCACUUAGCUUCUCAUUCCCAAUGGGAGGACCUUUCUGAUGAGGAGAGAUGAGAAUAUAAUAAACCACAAAUAAAUUAGAAGACAUAUAUAAAGCAAAAGCUGAGGGAGCAUAUGUUAGAUCCAGGAAAAAAUAGAUAGAAGAGGGUGGGCAAAACUCUGCCUUCUUCUUUAGUCUGGAAAAAAGGCAGUCCUCACUGGUUACUGUUGAUCAGAUUAAGGUAGAUGGUAAAAUAAUUGACAACCCCAGAGAAAUAGUCUCUUAUUGCAACAACUUCUAUAGAAAGUUAUACACUUCUAAUUAGUGAGGCAACUACCAACUCCUUUAUAGAAUCUAUUGGCCACUGCAAAGUUAUAUCCCCAGAAGAUAGAGAUUUCUGUGAUUACAGUAUUUCCCAGGGUGAGGUGUUAACAGCUAUUAGAGGUCUGAAAUAUAACGGAAGCCCAGGGUGUGAUGGCAUAACAGCUGAACUAUAUUAAAUGUUUGAUGAAUUUCUAUUUCCUUUUCUGCGUUUUCUUAGAGAGUUCAGAAAAAGAAGCUCUUCCAACAACUAUGACACAAUGUGUCAUCAGUCUGAUACACAAAACAAAGAACUAAACAAAGGCAGACACUGUUUAGAGAAUUGGUGCGCUACCACUCUCCUAAACAAACAGUCCCAAGUGAGAGCUGCGUGGAACAGAACCAGGAGACCCUAAGGUUACUAACUGUGUGGCCGCUACGGUUUGCUGUCUUCGCCGUCGUGUGUUGGUAUCGUGUACUGUCUCUUGUAUUGUAGGCUAACAGUUAGCAUCAGCCGAGUCACAGCUGGUAACGGAACGAUGCGGGGUAGCCUGAAACGUGGCUGGUGUGUGAGCUGCAGCUGUGGGCCAACUUACUAACAAGGAUAAUACUGAAGUUAUACCAAACACUUCAUCAUCAAAUACACAGCAGAAUACACCACAGAAGUCUCCCACUGAGCGAGACGAAAAGUUACUCAUUAAAAAUGUUUUAGGGCUGGGCGAUGAUAUAUUAUCUCUGAGCAAGCUGUAAGGUUAAUAAAAUUUUGGUUUCUAAUAUAUGAAGACGUUUGUCUGAUGUAAUACUUAUCCAUGAGAGUUAGUUGCUUUCAACAUUAGUUUGUUUUAUGUUAUGUUAAGACAUUUGUUAUAUCGUGAUUAUAUCACCAUCCGUAGUACAUUAUUUUGAAAAUAGCCUUAAUUCUCUGAUGUCUGCAGGUCUAAAGUUGAUUUGCGGUGUCAGAUAAGAGGCAUAUUCAUUGUCUGAUUAUGAAAUUUUUGCCCUUAUUUUUGCUAAUAGACUUAAAGAAGUGUUGAUAGAUGAAUCACAGUCCAGGUUCAUGAGGAAACAACAUAUUGCAAACAACAUUAGAUUAGUGCUGGACAUAUUAGAUUAUAAUGAGCUGUUACUUGAUUUUUACAAGUCGUUUGAUUCACUUGAACACUGUUUUAUUUUGAAAGCCCUUAAAAACUUUUGGAGAUGGUUUCUGUAGAACUGUCAGAACCCUAUAUGAGAAAGGCAGUAGUGCAGUCAAAUUGAAAUUUGGCACUUCGCCUAGAUUCAGUGCGUCACGUGGAGUCAAACAAGGAUGCCCUGUUUCUCCUCGCUCUUUGUGUCUCUAACAGUGCCUUGGAGGGGAUAACUAUAGCUAAUAGACAUAUUAUUAUUAGCCAGCUCGCAGAUGACACAACAGUUUUCCUGAGAGAUGCCUCCCAGAUUUCCCCUGCAAUAGAACUAAUUCAUGGUUUCUCACUGGCGUCUGGUUUAAAGUUUAACUUGCGAAAAUGUGAACUAAUGGCAGUUCAAGAAUGUCUCUUCUAUAUUUGAUAUUCCUGUGAUGGAUAAGGUAACUUACUUUGGAGCAGUUAUCUCCAAAGACCAAAAUACAAGAAAUCAUCACAAAACACACAAGAAAUUAAACCAUUGGGAUUUAUAUGUGAGAGGCAGAAUAUUACUAUCUAAAGCAGAAGGCAUAUCCAGACUCACUUAUUGGCUCUGUCUUUGGAUGUUAACACUGUGUUAUCCAAAAGAAUUGACAAUAUGUUUAAUUUUUUGUGGAAAAACAAAACUCAUUUUGUUAAAAACUCUGUGAUUAUGAACACUACUUGGUGUGGGGGUUUGAAUUUCUGGACUUCAUAACUCUAAACAACACCUUCAAAAAUCAGUUGGCUUAAAAAAUUUACUUAUAAUCCUUCAUCGUUAUGGAAUUUCUUUCAAAAUGCAAUUUUUUCCAAGAUUGGUAGCCUGGACUUUCUUUUAUUGUGUAAUAUAAUAUCAGCAAAAUCCCUGCCAAACUAUCAAAGAUUCAUAAGCAAAUGCUUUUGUCCUGGUCUCUCUUAUUUAAACAUAACUUCUCUCCAUACAGAUAAUCUAUUUGGAAUAAUAAGGACAUUCUCUAUAAAAACAAGUCAAUAUUUUUGGAAAAUUGGUUUAAUAAUAAUAUUUUACUUGUUUGUCAACUGUUUGAUACUAAUGAGAGACUCUAUAGCCUAGCAACGACAUAUCAAAUUCCCAUAUCAGUUAAACAUUAUGUGAUUGUUUUUGAUGCCGUUCCUCCAGGAGUCAGGAUGCUGCUGGGAGGCAUUAACUUCCGAUGGCCACUUCAUCACACUAUCAAUUUAUCUGACACUGCUGUGGGGAGUUUAUGCUUCCACAAAGCAACGGGUUACUAAAACUUAUUAGUGUUGUGGGUCCAGCCCGGCUGACGGUUCACUCACCCUCGUCCUCCGUUCUGUCGGCCGGGCUCAUCCUCUGGUCCUCUCCUCUCAGGUUUCCUCCACGGCGCCCUCCUGGGUCCCCCCACUCCUCGCCUCACCGCCUGCGCCUCGCCUGCUCCUCGGUCCUCCGUGUCCACAUCCCCCGGUGUCCACCUCUCCUCCAUCUCCUCUUCCCUAGCCCCUCUGUAAACUCUCAAUAAACCUCCUUCCCUCUGA